UACGGAGGGUGCAAGCGUUAAUCGGAAUUACUGGGCGUAAAGCGUGCGCAGGCGGUUUUGUAAGUCUGACGUGAAAUCCCCGGGCUCAACCUGGGAAUUGCGAUGGAGACUGCAAGGCUAGAAUCUGGCAGAGGGGGGUAGAAUUCCACGUGUAGCAGUGAAAUGCGUAGAGAUGUGGAGGAACACCGAUGGCGAAGGCAGC
This 202-nucleotide ribosomal RNA is filed under the name uncultured bacterium. RNAcentral's name for it is "partial 16S ribosomal RNA". It matches the Rfam family "Bacterial small subunit ribosomal RNA", at positions 524 to 725 of the family's 1533-position model. The record is from RNAcentral.